Molecule: transfer RNA, 65 nt
Filed under: Acanthobdella peledina
Lineage: Eukaryota; Metazoa; Annelida; Clitellata; Acanthobdellida
Description: tRNA-Gly
Source: RNAcentral
UAUAACAUAAGUAUAAUAGUACAUUUACCUUCCAAGUAAAAAGUUUACCCUAAAUAAAUGUUAUA